GGAUGAUUGUAGGCAAAGGUAGAAGGUGAUCCUACAGACAGGAGGAAAUCCCUCCCUCCUCUCUACAAAAGCAUGGAAACACACUUUUAAGAGCACAAGGCCAGCUCAUACAUGGAGGGAAGCAUUAUAUUAGCAUAACAAAGAAGGAUGCAAUUAUCUCCUACUACCUGGUUUGAAGGACCUGUUAGAAAAGACCUGAUCAUCAUUUAUGGUAACAAAGACCUAUUAGGGUUCACUAUGUCACCUGACGCUGUAGAGGCAGUUGUCAGUACAAGGAAGAGAGAAACUUCUGCUCCAGAAUCUCUUCUAACAUCCAUGUGCCAAUCGCUGAUAUAGAAGUCAGCAUGAGGAUUCAUCUUAAAUCCACAUCUCAACCCAGUGAUGCCAGUUCUGAAGACCCAAAUCACCGAUACAGGACAGAGGAGGACUGAAUUGAACCACUAUACAUUUGCUGCUUGGUUUAUUUUGCAAGCUUCAGUAUCAUAAGCUGAUGGUGGGUCUUUUCUACUCACAUAGCUAAAGCAAAAUAUGAAACAGAGGAAAUGCAUGGAAAUAAAAAGCAGGCAAAAGAAUUUGCCUUGGGUUGUUGUUGUUGUUGGUUUGGGGUUUUUUUAAAGAGGAGAUAUAGAGAGGAACUCAAUCAAAACAACAACAAAAAAUAUAGAAUCUGUUUAAAGACUGACCUUAAUGACAUUAGUGAUUCCUCGAGCACAAGUCUGCUUUGCUUUGUACAUCCUUUUACAAAAAGGGUGACCUCAACUCACUCAGAUUUUUUCCUUUUGUUCUUUUUUUUUUCCUUUUCAGAAACAAUCUCUCCAAUCUCUAACAAUCUCCUCCCUUUUUUAUCCUAACAAUUCUGAAAUGUUUACUUCCACACCAUUAUCUUUUAUGGAACUUAGCAGCACGGUCAUUUGUUAUUUUUAGAGCUUUUCAAACAGCAGAAGGUUUCAUUGCAGCUUUGCAUAUCUUUGCUGCCUGCUAAUGUUACUUUUCUUUCAUUAAAUCACUUAGCUCAG
Long non-coding RNA from Passer domesticus (house sparrow), 1016 nucleotides. RefSeq lists it as uncharacterized. NCBI's taxonomy places the organism in Eukaryota, Metazoa, Chordata, Aves, Passeriformes, Passeridae. The record is from RefSeq and is a predicted model, not a curated record. The transcript has 2 exons.